RNAcentral lists this transfer RNA (85 nucleotides) under Pseudomonadota bacterium. RNAcentral describes it as "tRNA-Leu". It matches the Rfam family "tRNA". Rfam says of the family: Transfer RNA (tRNA) molecules are approximately 80 nucleotides in length. Their secondary structure includes four short double-helical elements and three loops (D, anti-codon, and T loops). The record is from RNAcentral. RNAcentral also lists the same sequence under 1 other name. Lineage: Bacteria; Pseudomonadati; Pseudomonadota.
GCGAAAGUGGCGGAACGGCAGACGCGCGAGACUUAGGAUCUCGUGGGCUUGGCCCGUGGGGGUUCGAGUCCCCCCUUUCGCACCA